CCUGUAGGUCUACUCUACUGACUAUCUAUGGCCUGUAGGUCUACUCUACUGACUAUCUAUGUCCUGUAGGUCUACUCUACUGACUAUUAAUGGCCUGUAGGUCUACUCUACUGACUAUUAAUGGCCUGUAGGUCUACUCUACUGACUAUCUAUGGCCUGUAGGUCUACUCUACUGACUAUCAAUGGCCUGUAGGUCUACUCUACUGACUAUCUAUGGCCUGUAGGUCUACUCUACUGACUAUUAAUGGCCUGUAGGUCUACUCUACUGACUAUCUAUGUCCUGUAGGUCUACUCUACUGACUAUCUAUGUCCUGUAGGUCUACUCUACUGACUAUCUAUGUCCUGUAGGUCUACUCUACUGACUAUCUAUGGCCUGUAGGUCUACUCUACUGACUAUCUAUGUCCUGUAGGUCUACUCUACUGACUAUCUAUGGCCUGUAGGUCUACUCUACUGACUAUCUAUGGCCUGUAGGUCUACUCUACUGACUAUUAAUGGCCUGUAGGUCUACUCUACUGACUAUCUAUGUCCUGUAGGUCUACUCUCCUGACUAUCUAUGUCCUGUAGGUCUACUCUACUGACUAUCUAUGGCCUGUAGGUCUACUCUACUGACUAUCUAUGGCCUGUAGGUCUACUCUACUGACUAUCUAUGUCCUGUAGGUCUACUCUACUGACUAUCUAUGUCCUGUAGGUCUACUCUACUGACUAUCUAUGUCCUGUAGGUCUACUCUACUGACUAUCUAUGUCCUGUAGGUCUACUCUACUGACUAUCUAUGUCCUGUAGGUCUACUCUACUGACUAUUAAUGGCCUGUAGGUCUACUCUACUGACUAUCUAUGGCCUGUAGGUCUACUCUCCUGACUAUCUAUGUCCUGUAGGUCUACUCUCCUGACUAUCUAUGUCCUGUAGGUCUACUCUACUGACUAUCUAUGGCCUGUAGGUCUACUCUACUGACUAUCUAUGUCCUGUAGGUCUACUCUACUGACUAUCUGGCCUGUAGGUCUACUCUACUGACUAUCUAUGUCCUGUAGGUCUACUCUACUGACUAUCUAUGGCCUGUAGGUCUACUCUACUGACUAUCUAUGUCCUGUAGGUCUACUCUACUGACUAUCUAUGUCCUGUAGGUCUACUCUACUGACUAUCUAUGUCCUGUAGGUCUACUCUACUGACUAUCUAUGUCCUGUAGGUCUACUCUACUGACUAUCUAUGUCCUGUAGGUCUACUCUACUGACUAUCUAUGUCCUGUAGGUCUACUCUACUGACUAUCAAUGGCCUGUAGGUCUACUCUACUGACUAUCUAUGGCCUGUAGGUCUACUCUCCUGACUAUCUAUGUCCUGUAGGUCUACUCUCCUGACUAUCUAUGUCCUGUAGGUCUACUCUCCUGACUAUCUAUGUCCUGUAGGUCUACUCUACUGACUAUCUGGCCUGUAGGUCUACUCUACUGACUAUCUAUGGCCUGUAGGUCUACUCUACUGAAUAUGGCCUGUAGGUCUACUCUACUGACUAUCUGGCCUGUAGGUCUACUCUACUGACUAUCUGGCCUGUAGGUCUACUCUACUGACUAUCUAUGUCCUGUAGGUCUACUCUACUGACUAUCUAUGUCCUGUAGGUCUACUCUACUGACUAUCUAUGGCCUGUAGGUCUACUCUACUGACGAUCAAUGGCCUGUAGGUCAACUCUCUUUAAAGAAUUUCAGGUCUUCUCUCCAUUGGUUCUAAACCAAAACCCUUCAGCAUGCUGGGCCGUGUGGUCUCUUUAGCCAUAUUCUGAUCUGAAAGACUCACAUUCAAUAGUCUUUUCUAUCGCCACGGAAACCAAAUGAGUGCUGAAACGGGUAGUAAUGUGAGACUCUAGGAUGCCGUCUGUGUCAGGUCAGAGGUCAGUAUGAUGUAGUCAGGGACUGUUUGACUGGCCACACUUCCCCGUGCCAGACGGCCAUUACAGAGACUUAACCAGCUGCUUUCCAAUUGGUUCCCUGACCUCUCCUCAUCCCCUACACUGACCUCUCCUCAUCUCCUACACUGACCUCUCCUCAUCCCCUACACUGACCUCUCCUCGUCCCCUACACUGACCUCUCCUCAUCCCCUACACUGACCUCUCCUCAUCCCCUACACUGACCUCUCCCCAUCCCCUACACUGACCUCUCCUCAUCCCAUACACUGACCUCUCCUCAUCCCUUCCACUGACCUCUCCUCAUCCCCUACACUGACCUCUCCUCAUCCCCUACACUGACCUCUCCUCAUCUCCUACACUGACCUCUCCUCAUCCCUUCCACUGACCUCACCUCAUCCCCUACACUGACCUCUCCUCAUCCCCUACACUGACCUCUCCUCAUCCCCUACACAGACCUCUCCUCAUCCCUUACACUGACCUCUCCUCAUCCCCUACACUGACCUCUCCUCAUCCCCUACACUGACCUCUCCUCAUCCCCUACACUGACCUCUCCUCAUCCCAUACACUGACCUCUCCUCAUCCCUUACACUGACCUCUCCUCAUCCCCUACACUGACCUCUCCUCAUCCCCUACACUGACCUCCCCUCAUCCCUUACACUGACCUCUCCUCAUCCCUUACACUGAUCUCUCCUCAUCCCCUACACUGACCUCUCCUUAUCCCUUACACUGACCUCUCCUCAUCCCUUACACUGACCUCUCCUCAUCCCUUACACUGACCUCUCCUCAUCCCUUACACUGACCUCUCCUCAUCCCUUACACUGACCUCUCCUCAUCCCCUACACUGACCUCUCCUCAUCCC
Molecule: long non-coding RNA, 2750 nt
Organism: Oncorhynchus keta (chum salmon)
Lineage: Eukaryota; Metazoa; Chordata; Actinopteri; Salmoniformes; Salmonidae
Exons: 5
Source: RefSeq, a predicted model, not a curated record